This 203-nucleotide long non-coding RNA is filed under the name Elaeis guineensis (African oil palm). Its description in RNAcentral is "long non-coding RNA (EGUI_LNC037285)". The record is from RNAcentral. Lineage: Eukaryota; Viridiplantae; Streptophyta; Magnoliopsida; Arecales; Arecaceae.
UGGAAUUUUGUAUAUCUUGACCUUUGCGGCUACUCUCGCACCAGAUUGGUACGACCCCACAUUUGUAUCCCAAAAAAAAAAAAUUAUCGAAGCAAAACUCCUAUUUUAAAUAAAAUAUUGGGUUCAAUACAACAUCAGAUAUCAUGAUUACAACGUAAUAAUACAGCAGUCAUUUUAUACCGCCAUAAUGUCAUCAAAGAACU